UUGCUGUCACGAACAUUGCGUCGGUUGGAUCGAGUCGUACCAUAGGCGAAGUAUUGCUGAAGUGUGGCUCUGCUGGGUCGAGGCCUUAAAGACAACCUGUUACCCUGAUCGGUUGGGAUUCGAUCGGCCAUCUUCGUAUGUCUCCGGAGUGUCGACGGACCACGUGUCUGCGAAGAGAUGAAGGAUACGAGUUCGGGAUCGUUCGGGUUACGCACGAACGAACGAACGAACGAACGAACGAACGAACGAACGAACGAACGAAAGAACGAACGAAAGAAAGAACGAAAGAACGAAAGAACGAAAGAACGAAAGAACGAAGUAUGAUCAUACUCACCAUUACCCAGGUGUCAUCACCAUUGUCUAAAAAUCCAUGUAUAAUGAAGUAAAAAGUGUUUUCUAAUCGAAACGGUGCACUCUUGAUCGUAUCGAAAUGAUCGAUCUUCAAUUCGUGCGGUUGAUCUAUGUAGUCACGUGUGUAUAGUAAAUAAUGUGGAUUGAUACUAUCUGGUCGAGCUGGAAACAUCGAAACUGGACGAUUUUCGCCUGACCAUGGUGCACCGAUGUAGAAACAUCCAUAGGGUUCGUAACAUCUCCACAUGUACCAUUCUAAACAGAUAAAUAAAUGAACAAACAUAAAUAUAAUUAAGAUGAUCGAAAUGAUAUAAAAAC
This is a long non-coding RNA of Vespula pensylvanica (western yellowjacket), 669 nucleotides long. RefSeq lists it as uncharacterized. The transcript is spliced from 3 exons. The record is from RefSeq and is a predicted model, not a curated record. Lineage: Eukaryota; Metazoa; Arthropoda; Insecta; Hymenoptera; Vespidae.